This 488-nucleotide ribosomal RNA is filed under the name uncultured Polaribacter sp. RNAcentral describes it as "bacterial SSU rRNA". It matches the Rfam family "Bacterial small subunit ribosomal RNA", at positions 39 to 524 of the family's 1533-position model. Lineage: Bacteria; Pseudomonadati; Bacteroidota; Flavobacteriia; Flavobacteriales; Flavobacteriaceae. The record is from RNAcentral.
GUAUCGGGAUGCUUACCAUGCAGUCGAGGGGUAACAUUGUGCUUGCACAGAUGACGACCGGCGCACGGGUGCGUAACGCGUAUAGAACCUACCUUUUACAGAGGGAUAGCCUUUAGAAAUGAAGAUUAAUACCUUAUGGUAUUGUAGACUGGCAUCAGUUUAUAAUUAAAGAUUUAUCGGUAAAAGAUGGCUAUGCGUCCUAUUAGUUAGAUGGUAAGGUAACGGCUUACCAUGACAUCGAUAGGUAGGGGUCCUGAGAGGGAGAUCCCCCACACUGGUACUGAGACACGGACCAGACUCCUACGGGAGGCAGCAGUGAGGAAUAUUGGGCAAUGGAGGCGACUCUGACCCAGCCAUGCUGCGUGUAGGAAGAAUGCCCUAUGGGUUGUAAACUACUUUUAUACAGGAAGAAACACUGGUAUGUAUACCAGCUUGACGGUACUGUAAGAAUAAGGACCGGCUAACUCCGUGCCAGCAGCCGCGGUAAC